RNAcentral lists this ribosomal RNA (377 nucleotides) under uncultured bacterium. Its description in RNAcentral is "bacterial SSU rRNA". It matches the Rfam family "Bacterial small subunit ribosomal RNA", at positions 29 to 406 of the family's 1533-position model. The record is from RNAcentral.
AUUGAACGCUGGCGGAAUGCUUUACACAUGCAAGUCGAGCGGCAGCGCGGGGCGAACCCUGGCGGCGAGCGGCGAACGGGUGAGUAACAUAUCGGAACGUACCCAGUCGUGGGGAGUAACUAUCCGAAAGGACAGCUAAUACCGCAUACGUCCUGAGGGAGAAAGCGGGGGAGUCGCAAGACCUCGCGCGAUUGGAGCGGCCGAUAUCGGAUUAGCUAGUUGGUGGGGUAAAGGCUCACCAAGGCGACGAUCCGUAGCGGGUCUGAGAGGACGACCCGCCACACUGGAACUGAGACACGGUCCAGACUCCUACGGGAGGCAGCAGUGGGGAAUUUUGGACAAUGGGCGCAAGCCUGAUCCAGCCAUGCCGCGUGCGG